AAGGAGGAGGCGAAAAGAGAGUACCUUCCAAGCGGCUCGGGUCCCUAGUUUUUCCUUAACUCAAAUAAGAAAAGUUGUGAAAACUCUGCUGGGGGUGAGAGAAGUAGAGAGGAGGAAGCCAAAUAGAAGUGUGCCCCUCGCCGCCACUGCGUGCGGACCCAAUUGGGCUAGUCAGGGCGAGGGAAGGGGAGCAGUAGGAACUGAGAACUGGGGGAGUAGGUUGGAGGACCGAGGAGGUUACGAACGGAACUGUGGCGAGGGCAUCGUUCCCGGGGGUGUUAAAGGCGGUGAACGAAAGAAGGUUGGCGGUUGUCGGGGUUCAGUGCGUCUAGGUGAUUAGAAGAAAGUUACCAAGAGCUGAGGAAUAGAACUGAAGCCAAGGUAGAGCAGCAGUGAGAAGGACCACUGCUGGAGAAUGAAGGGGUGAAGUGGUAAAUGGGAAGGCUGAAGAAGUGAGAGGUCAAAGAAGAAAAGUGGGACAGAAAGUGCUAGGAGGUAAAUUGAGUCGCAGCCAAUCUCGUCUUAACUUUGUAUUGUUGCUGUACUGCUGCAGUCCACCAGCGGGGGAGAAACACGGAGAAAGACAAGUCCGUCUGUCUGUGCCGCAGGUUCGGAACACCGUGCUGGUUUGGGUGUCGGUAUAUAUGAGAAUGGCUCCCAGAAUAUAGAGGGAUUUUCACCUCUAUUUGUCCUCUUCCUUUCCCUUUUCCGUGUCCCCUACAAGACCGGGGAACGCUUUCCUAAGUGUACUUAUAGAGACCAAGAGUUCCUAGCUUGAUCCGACAGCAGUAAACUUUUCAUUUUUCUCAAA
This is a long non-coding RNA of Antechinus flavipes (yellow-footed antechinus), 811 nucleotides long. RefSeq lists it as uncharacterized. The record is from RefSeq and is a predicted model, not a curated record. NCBI's taxonomy places the organism in Eukaryota, Metazoa, Chordata, Mammalia, Dasyuromorphia, Dasyuridae. The transcript is spliced from 2 exons.